GUGUGAUAUAUAUGCAAGAGGACAUGCAAAUAGGGCCCUCUCUGUGCUGAUAAAACCAGCCCAGCCCGACCUUGCAACUGGGAGAGGAGCCCCAGCUCCAGGGGUCCCAGGUGUUCCCAUUCUGUGAUCAGGACAGAACACAGACACCUCACCAUGGAGUAUGUGCUUGGCUUGGUUUUCCUUGUUGUUUUUUUUAAAAGGUGUCCAGUGUGACGUGCAGCUGGUGGAGUCUGGGGGAGACCUGGUGAAGCCUGGGGGGACCCUGAGACUCACCGGUGUAGCCUCUGGAUUCACCUUCAGUAGUUCCAGCAUGAACUGGGUCCGCCAGGCUCCAGCAAAGGGGCUGCAGUGGGUCGCGUAUUUCAGUAGUAGUGGAGUAGCACAAGCUACGCAGAUCCGUGAAGGGCCGAUUCACCAUCUCCAGAGACAACGCCAAGAACACGCUGUAUCUGCAGAUGAACAACCUGAAGUCUGA
Leopardus geoffroyi (Geoffroy's cat) is the source of this 475-nucleotide non-coding RNA. The record is from the annotation of a RefSeq genome assembly. NCBI's taxonomy places the organism in Eukaryota, Metazoa, Chordata, Mammalia, Carnivora, Felidae.